GUUAAAUUUUACCGGGAAUCUGCCGACGGGACUAAAGAGGCUAUGGACGCCGUGAGUGAUACGUUGGCUGGUUUGGAAACAUGUUUGCUUCCAUGUAUUGUACGGAUUGUGAAGAUUGAGAAUUCAAGCUGUUAAUGAUGAGGUAGACUGUGAAGACUUGCAAAAGAUAGCCGCUUGAAAUCUUUGUUCACUGUUACACGAUGAACCACACUCUUG
This is a long non-coding RNA of Capsella rubella, 216 nucleotides long. RefSeq lists it as uncharacterized. NCBI's taxonomy places the organism in Eukaryota, Viridiplantae, Streptophyta, Magnoliopsida, Brassicales, Brassicaceae. The record is from RefSeq and is a predicted model, not a curated record. The transcript is spliced from 3 exons.